UUUAUUUUGGUGUAUGGAGCACAUAAAUUUUUGAUAUUUAAAGACAAACGAAAUAAAU
Molecule: transfer RNA, 58 nt
Filed under: Stygobromus foliatus
Lineage: Eukaryota; Metazoa; Arthropoda; Malacostraca; Amphipoda; Crangonyctidae
Description: tRNA-Gln
Source: RNAcentral